AACGAACGCUGGCGGCAGGCUUAACACAUGCAAGUCGAGCGCCCCGCAAGGGGAGCGGCAGACGGGUGAGUAACGCGUGGGAAUCUACCCUUGACUACGGAAUAACGCAGGGAAACUUGUGCUAAUACCGUAUGUGUCCUUCGGGAGAAAGAUUUAUCGGUCAAGGAUGAGCCCGCGUUGGAUUAGCUAGUUGGUGGGGUAAAGGCCUACCAAGGCGACGAUCCAUAGCUGGUCUGAGAGGAUGAUCAGCCACAUUGGGACUGAGACACGGCCCAAACUCCUACGGGAGGCAGCAGUGGGGAAUAUUGGACAAUGGGCGCAAGCCUGAUCCAGCCAUGCCGCGUGAGUGAUGAAGGCCCUAGGGUUGUAAAGCUCUUUCACCGGAGAAGAUAAUGACG
This 398-nucleotide ribosomal RNA is filed under the name Rhizobium sp. RNAcentral describes it as "bacterial SSU rRNA". It matches the Rfam family "Bacterial small subunit ribosomal RNA", at positions 29 to 456 of the family's 1533-position model. The record is from RNAcentral. RNAcentral also lists the same sequence under 1 other name. Lineage: Bacteria; Pseudomonadati; Pseudomonadota; Alphaproteobacteria; Hyphomicrobiales; Rhizobiaceae.